Long non-coding RNA from Triticum aestivum (bread wheat), 3155 nucleotides. RefSeq lists it as uncharacterized. The transcript is spliced from 4 exons. Lineage: Eukaryota; Viridiplantae; Streptophyta; Magnoliopsida; Poales; Poaceae. The record is from RefSeq and is a predicted model, not a curated record.
UUCUCCCGCAACGACCAAACCUAACCCGCGCCUCCCCUGCACCCCCCGCCUCCUCUCCUGCCGCCGCCACCUCCUCCCCGCGACCCCCGCCUGCUCCCCUAGCGCCGCCGCCUCCUGGGCCUCGCCCUCACCGGCUCGCGACCCCGCCCUCCUCCCCUGCCGCCGCCUCCAGCCCAAUCCCCUCACAGGCUUCCUCUUUCCCUCCACUCCCCAGACGCCGCCACUUGUGCUUGGCAGAAGGAGUGGCUGCGAUGAUGGAAGAUGCGUGAGGAGGACGAGGAGGAGGCCGUGGUCAUGGCGGCGCGACGGAUAUCGUGUUCGGGCGGCGCAGUUGGUCGAGGCAGAGGUGCCAGCCCGCGGGGUCGCAAUCGAGCUGGGCGUGAUGAGAGGGAGGAGAGGGAUGGGAAGAGUGGGAGGCGCAAGGACAGCGGCGCUUGCCAUCUCAUUCCCCAUCUCUUCUCGUUGCACGUCCCCCAUGAGUUCCUCUUUCUAAUCCCCUUCCUCUCCAUAAGUUAUCUUUUUAUUUUCUGAAAUAUGUAUGUUUGCUCAUUGGGCGGCCAUGGAUUCUAGAGAUGGAGGCCUCGACAGGAGGAGCUCGAGCCGAGGAGCGCGCCCUCGAUCCGGGCUCAACAGGGGGAGGGGAGCAGCAGCCGCGCCGGCCUCGUCGCAAUGCGUGCAGCAAGCUGAAGGCGCGGCAAGAGCGGCGGUCAAGACCACGGUCGCGGCUUCCGGGGACCAAGGUCGCUUCAUUCCGUCUCCUCCCCCUUUUUUUUCUUCUCAGGCAACAACAGAUGACAAGAUGCGAUGCCCCAUCUUCAGCUUGCAGGAGGGAACGCGAGCUCUCCUCACUGGUGACGGCGACCUGGCGAGGAGGUCCCUUGUUCUGUGGCCUGCCUCUGCGCGGCCGGCUGGCUGCUCAGGUGCGCGCACCAGUGCCUCUGCUCGCCCAGCCGACUGCUGUCCGCACAGACGCACACCACCCGGCAGCAGCGUGCCGAGCCGCCCCUGUUAGGCGGACUGCUGAAGCCGCCCAGUCCCGCCAGCCGCUCAGCCACUAAACCCGUUGCCUCUUCCGAAAGAGUGUUGCAUGGAGUACCAAGGCUUGCACGUUGCCCAAGGAUUGGACACCCAGUUGCUGAUCUACACCCCCUUAUCUGCAUUCCACACUAUUCAAAGGAGCUCCAGUAAGGUUGCUCGCCAAUGAGCUGGAAGUGUUUUUGUCCUGGGUGCUUGCACGAUUGAGGAAGAGACUGGUUAUUUCUAAAUGUGCUACUGCAGAUAAAAGAUGAACUCGUCCUAUUUUCUUUCUUCAAUCUGGGACAAGAUACAAAAGGUUUAGUAAAGGAGGACUCAAGUCUGCAACCACCAUAGAGAUAUGGCCAUGGAAGUAUGGAACAAUAGUGUGUGGAUGUUCUGUGCAAUUUUUCUCUCAUCGAGGUAUGCCUCCGUUUCACUGGGCCAGGCUCGACUUGCCAACUACAUACUCCUUCCAUAAAGAAAUAUAACAUCGUUUAGAUCACUAAAGUAGUGAUCUUUAGUGAUCUAAAGGCUCUUAUAUUUAUUUACAGAGGAAUUAUUUGUUUUCUUUGCUGCAAAGUAUUUUGAGAUGCGUAUGUUGAGAUGGAUGUGUGGCCACACGAGGAAGGAUAGAGUCCAGAAUGAUGAUAUACGAGAUAGAGUUGGGGUAGCACCGACUGAAAAGAAGCUUGUCCAACAUCGUCUGAGAUGGUUUGGGCAUAUUCAACGCAAGCCUCCAGAAGCCCCAGUGCAUAGCGGACGGCUAAAGCGUGCGGAGAAUGUCAAGAGAGGUCGGGGUAGACCGAAUUUGACAUGGGAGGAAUCCGUUAAGAGAGAUCUGAAGGAUUGGAGUAUCACCAAAGAACUAGCUAUGGACAGGGGUGCGUGGAAGCUUGCUAUCCAUGUGCCAGAGCCAUGAGUUGAUCGCGAGGCCUACCCCAACUUGUUUGGGAUUAAAGGCUUUGUUGUUGUUGUUUGCUGCAAAGUAUUUUGAGAUUAUAGUGUGUUGAGCAUGCAAUCCCGAUUCCAGGAAAAAAAUAUUAUGUAGUCCAUCGCACAUGCUCGGUUUCAGAGUAAAUCCAAAGCCAUUUGCUGCCUCUUGAAUUUUUGGUUCUACCUAAUGCACAAAAUCUCUCAUGGUUCUAUUUCUACCUGAUGUAGAAAAGCGACUAUUAUCUGUUGAUUGGCUUAUUGAUGUUUGGUACUGGUCAUAUUAGUUCCCUAGGGCCGUAAAAAACUACAUUUCUACUCUAUGAUUAUGUCUCAAAGAUGUUUUCUAGCUUGCAAGUUUGAUUUCUUUGUCUUCCACAUGGUCGGUUUAGUUUCUCACCUUGCUUAAAAAUUCAGGUUGAAAUGUUGCCAGUCCAGCCUAUGCUGAUGCUAUAAUGGGAUCAUGACAGAAAAUUAUUUAUUUUGUUAUAUACCUGCAGCUCACUUUGUUAAUUUCCACAACAGCAUUUUAUAUUUACAUUUAAAUUGUACUCCCUCUGUUCUUGAAAAGAAGGCAUAUCAAUUUUGGUCAAAGUCAAAUAAUGUAAAGUUUGACCAAGUUAAUCCAACAAACUUAUACAUUUUCUUUCCAGGGAGUACCUACUUAGUUUGAUUAUUGCAUCUACUUCUACUUCUACUUCAUUUCUGUACUCACAUUUAAAUUAGGCACCUACUUUAUUUCUACUACUUUUUUCCUGCACCUACAGUAUCAGUGUUGUAUCUGCUCGAUCAUGGAGCUAUGACUCUGUUACAUUGGGCUAAAGAUUGAUUGCUUGCACGGGUAUGUCAAGGUGUAGGUGCAGACUCAUUGCUGGUGUUGAAUACUGGAGCAAGAAUGAUGAUCAAUGCUCUAAUGAACCUGCAUGAUGUAGCAUUACUAUUGGGAUAUAUGGGUUAGGCACAUACUCUUUUUUGACAGUAGGUUAGACAAGUGUUUUUUUUUUUAGUUUUUCUCUGUCGAUUUCUCUUUUACUGUAAAGCAAAGGCUGAUUGUUAGUCUUUGUUGAGUCAAGAGAUUUUUUUACUUGGAAGAUCGCAACAUUGCCGAUAGAAGAAUGAGUUUUAUAGCAAAUCAGGUUUUGACUUCUAUACUAAUGGUUACAUCACCAUGAUGGUUGGAAUAUAAUUAAGACUUUGUUCGCACUUAA